Molecule: transfer RNA, 78 nt
Filed under: Henriciella barbarensis
Lineage: Bacteria; Pseudomonadati; Pseudomonadota; Alphaproteobacteria; Hyphomonadales; Hyphomonadaceae
Description: tRNA-Arg
Rfam family: tRNA (bases 15-75)
About the family: Transfer RNA (tRNA) molecules are approximately 80 nucleotides in length. Their secondary structure includes four short double-helical elements and three loops (D, anti-codon, and T loops). Further hydrogen bonds mediate the characteristic L-shaped molecular structure. tRNAs have two regions of fundamental functional importance: the anti-codon, which is responsible for specific mRNA codon recognition, and the 3' end, to which the tRNAs corresponding amino acid is attached (by aminoacyl-tRNA synthetases). tRNAs cope with the degeneracy of the genetic code in two manners: having more than one tRNA (with a specific anti-codon) for a particular amino acid; and 'wobble' base-pairing, i.e. permitting non-standard base-pairing at the 3rd anti-codon position.
Source: RNAcentral
GCGCCGGUACGUGAGAGUAUGUACUAAAACAGAUUCCUAAUCUGUAGGUCACAGGUUCGAAUCCUGUCGGGGUCGCCA